This is a non-coding RNA of Jaminaea rosea, 95 nucleotides long. Lineage: Eukaryota; Fungi; Basidiomycota; Exobasidiomycetes; Microstromatales. The record is from the annotation of a RefSeq genome assembly.
GUUGUCAUCCCGUAGCGGUCAAUCGGGUCGGUUUUAAGUUGCCACGUGGCCACCGAUGAGGAAGCUCACCGCGGGUUCGAAUCCCGCUGACAACA